Molecule: non-coding RNA, 1039 nt
Organism: Oryza sativa Japonica Group (Japanese rice)
Lineage: Eukaryota; Viridiplantae; Streptophyta; Magnoliopsida; Poales; Poaceae
Source: RefSeq, a predicted model, not a curated record
CUGUCAACGAUCUCUCUUUUAUUUUAUCAGUAUUGGAAGAAAAAUACUAUCAGUAUGAAGAAAGGUUGCAGAGUGUUUGUAUGGUAGCGGAAAUAUCUAGCGGCUGAUAUUGAUCGAGUUAGGCAAGAAAGAGCGUGACGCGGCUGCUACGGAUAAACAAAUGCAAUGGGCCACCCACAACACAAGCAAACCACGCGUCCCCUCUAGAAACCACCCUAAAGAUUUUCCUCCCCGAUAAUCCAAUCCAAUAUGCGCCAGCUGCAAGCUCUCACGCCAGCCACUCGCUCAUUUUCUUCCCUUCCUGCAUGCCAUGUCCUCUUCUCUUCUCUUCCCUCUAUGCUUGAUAUUAUUAGUACAGCUCACCAGCAACAGGUUCACUUGAAAAGAAACUCCACUCUACUGGAUUUUCCUAAGGCCCCUUCUAUUCAAAGAAAAUUCAUAGAAAUUUUAAAGGAUUUUAUUUCUAUAGAAAUUUUUCCUAUAUAGCCAUUUGAAUCAAAGGAAUGAAUCCUAUGUAAUCGCAUGAAAUUCCUAUGGAAUGCCUCUUCCCAUGUGUGAACAUCAGGCGUUUUGGAUAAUGGGUUACAAUAAAUAGAAGGUCAGGAAAAAGAUGGAUGGUUCAGAUUAAAACUUUUUUUAAUGGUAAAACCCAUGCAUUAACCAAGCAUGCCCUGUCCUUCCACCAGUGGAACGUGAAUUUCUGUAAUGUGCUUACACUAACAUUUAUGCUUCUCCAUUUUUUUUAGCAAAUAAGUCACCACCACUUAGCUCCAAACAUGCAUGUAUUGAGCAGUAAGAGCAGUCAAAACAGGCGGUUUAGUAACCAUACCGUCAUCAGCGUAGGGCUGUAGCAAUUUAGCGGUGUUAGUUGGAGUUGUGGGUUCGGUGGUUGGUGCACUUCAUCAAAGCAGAAAAAGAACAUGUAUGCUAUGCAUACUUGGUCAGCAAUCGCCGCGUACAUUACCACCCACUCAAGCAAACAGCUUUCCCAUUUGUCUGUAUCACCUGAAAACUUAGUAUGUGCAUUUCCUUUUUCUUC